Molecule: transfer RNA, 74 nt
Filed under: Candidatus Omnitrophota bacterium
Lineage: Bacteria; Pseudomonadati; Candidatus Omnitrophota
Description: tRNA-Gln
Rfam family: tRNA
About the family: Transfer RNA (tRNA) molecules are approximately 80 nucleotides in length. Their secondary structure includes four short double-helical elements and three loops (D, anti-codon, and T loops).
Source: RNAcentral
UGACGGGUAGUGUAACGGCAGCACAGCAGACUCUGGAUCUGCUUGUCUAGGUUCAAAUCCUAGCCCGUCAGCCA